RNAcentral lists this long non-coding RNA (617 nucleotides) under Nicotiana benthamiana. RNAcentral describes it as "long non-coding RNA (NBEN_LNC034810)". The record is from RNAcentral. Lineage: Eukaryota; Viridiplantae; Streptophyta; Magnoliopsida; Solanales; Solanaceae.
UAGAGAGUAGUAGAUAGUAGGUAUUGUAACCUUGAUAGGACAGAUCUAUCGAUAUUCUAUGCUUGAAUAGUAAUGGAAAAGCUUGGAGUAAAGGAAGAUUCCGAUAAAGGAGUGAGUUAAGAUAGCCAUAGCUAUAGUCAAAGUGGAUAGAUGCCUAUAAAACCACUAGGAGAAGUAAGAGUAUCGGAUGAUGGAUCCGGAAACUUCCAAUUCUAUAAGCUGGGGAAGAGCCCUAACUAGGAGGCUUCUAGCUUACCAUCUAUAGUAGGCCUCGAAACGAUGGAUCCGGAAACUUCCAAUUCUAUAAGAAGUGGAUAGAUGCCUAUAAAACCACUAGGAGAAGUAAGAGUAUCGGAUGAUGGAUCCGGAAACUUCCAAUUCUAUAAGCUGGGGAAGAGCCCUAACUAGGAGGCUUCUAGCUUACCAUCUAUAGUAGGCCUCGAAACCUUUCCAUAUUCUUCAUUCUUCUACUCCAGGUGAAAUACCAUCAUAAAGGGGAGCCUGAAGUAGGAGUCCCGGAAGAGGAAUCAACAACGGAAGGUGAAACCGGCUGAUGGAAGGCAAUGAAAUAGGUGCAGAAAGCAGGCCAUCUGAAGGAGGAGUACCAGUGGAUAGAG